Molecule: small nucleolar RNA, 107 nt
Filed under: Theobroma cacao (cacao)
Lineage: Eukaryota; Viridiplantae; Streptophyta; Magnoliopsida; Malvales; Malvaceae
Description: Plant small nucleolar RNA R71
Rfam family: Plant small nucleolar RNA R71
About the family: R71 is a member of the C/D box family of snoRNAs containing the C (UGAUGA) and D (CUGA) box motifs.
Source: Rfam by way of RNAcentral
AGGCCAUGGUGUGGACAUUUCUGAAGCAAGUCUUUAUACCUCUCCCAUGCUUUGUAUAGAGACUCAGAAUCCAACUGCGUGAAAGAAGUAUUAUUGUUUCUCAUCUU